This 230-nucleotide ribosomal RNA is filed under the name uncultured bacterium. Its description in RNAcentral is "partial 16S ribosomal RNA". It matches the Rfam family "Bacterial small subunit ribosomal RNA", at positions 335 to 582 of the family's 1533-position model. The record is from RNAcentral.
UUGCCUACGGGAGGCAGCAGUGGGGAAUAUUGCACAAUGGGGGAAACCCUGAUGCAGCGACGCCGCGUGGGUGAAGGAGUACUUCGGUACGUGAAUCCCUAUCAGCAGGAAAGAAAAUGACGGUACCUGACUAAGAAGCCCCGGCUAACUACGUGCCAGCAGCCGCGGUAAUACGUAGGGGGCAAGCGUUAUCCGGAUUUACUGGGUGUAAAGGGAGCGUAGACGGCAGU